CAAGUAUUGUUGUCUUGUAGACA
RNAcentral lists this non-coding RNA (23 nucleotides) under Arabidopsis thaliana (thale cress). The record is from RNAcentral. Lineage: Eukaryota; Viridiplantae; Streptophyta; Magnoliopsida; Brassicales; Brassicaceae.